CCUACGGUAGGCAGCAGUGAGGAAUAUUGGUCAAUGGGCGCGAGCCUGAACCAGCCAAGUAGCGUGAAGGAUGACUGCCCUACGGGUUGUAAACUUCUUUUAUAAAGGAGUAAAGUGAGGCACGUGUGCCUUUCUGUAUGUACUUUAUGAAUAAGGAUCGGCUAACUCCGUGCCAGCAGCCGCGGUAAUACGGAGGAUCCGAGCGUUAUCCGGAUUUAUUGGGUUUAAAGGGAGCGUAGAUGGGUUGUUAAGUUAGUUGUGAAAGUUUGCGGCUCAACCGGAAAAUUGCAAUUGAUACUGGCAGCCUAGAGUAUAGUUGAGGUAGGCGGAAUUCGUGGUGUAGCGGUGAAAUGCUUAGAUAUCACGCAGAACUCCGAUUGCGAAGGCAGCCUACUAAGCUGCCACUGACGUUGAUGCUCGAAAGUGUGGGUAUCAAACAGGAUUAGAUACCCUUGUAGUC
This 460-nucleotide ribosomal RNA is filed under the name uncultured bacterium. RNAcentral's name for it is "partial 16S ribosomal RNA". It matches the Rfam family "Bacterial small subunit ribosomal RNA", at positions 338 to 795 of the family's 1533-position model. The record is from RNAcentral.